Molecule: ribosomal RNA, 253 nt
Filed under: uncultured bacterium
Lineage: Bacteria
Description: partial 16S ribosomal RNA
Rfam family: Bacterial small subunit ribosomal RNA
Source: RNAcentral
UACGUAGGGGGCAAGCGUUGUCCGGAAUCAUUGGGCGUAAAGCGCGUGUAGGCGGUCCGGUAAGUCGGCUGUGAAAGUCCAGGGCUCAACCCUGGGAUGCCGGUCGAUACUGCCGGACUAGAGUUCGGAAGAGGCGAGUGGAAUUCCCGGUGUAGCGGUGAAAUGCGCAGAUAUCGGGAGGAACACCAAUGGCGAAGGCAGCUCGCUGGGACGUUACUGACGCCGAGACGCGAAAGCGUGGGGAGCAAACAGG